RNAcentral lists this unclassified non-coding RNA (244 nucleotides) under uncultured fungus. Its description in RNAcentral is "sequence contains ITS1, 5.8S rRNA gene". The stretch from base 196 to 244 matches the Rfam family "5.8S ribosomal RNA", at positions 1 to 49 of the family's 154-position model. The record is from RNAcentral. Lineage: Eukaryota; Fungi.
UCUCCGUUGGUGAACCAGCGGAGGGAUCAUUACAGAGUUUUUAACUUGCAAACCCAUGUGAACUUACCAUUGUUGCCUCGGCGGAGCCUACCCUGUAGCUACCCUGUAGGGUGGUUACCCUUUAGCGCCCCACCGGUGGAUUUUCAAACUCUUGUUAUUUUUAGUAAUCUGAGCGACUUAUUUUAAAUAAGUCAAAACUUUCAGCAACGGAUCUCUUGGUUCUGGCAUCGAUGAAGAACGCAGC